AUAUAUAUAUCCCAGCAGGAGGAGGGCUCCUAUUGGAAGACCUCGAAGAAGCAGUCUGGCUCGUGACCAAUAGAGACGGCCGGUAGGAGUCACGUAAGUAGCAUGGUGGCGUGCUCUGAUUGCUAUGAUGAUGCCGCCGGCACGGUAAUAAUCCUACCCCCCAGCUGUAAAAUGGGAAAAUGUCUUGCAUCUCAUUUUGACAUGAGUGCCACAUGCCCCUGCUGCCUGUGGUGAGUGGCAGGCUGCUACACACACUUGCAUGUUUGUGAGUAGAGAUUAGCUGCUGGAUGCUGCGUGAUAAGAUGGUGCAUCUGCUGGGCGGCUUUCAGUUCCAUUCAUCUUGCGGCGCUGCCUAGUUCUUUUGUCUCUUUGUUUUUUUUCCACCCCACCUUCUGUUAGCCUAAUUUGUGCUUCUGAGUAAUUUGGUAGAAGCUUUUUUUUUUUUUUUUGAUGGGGGACACAUUAGCAUUUGAGAGGUCUUGCCAAAAGUGCUUUACAGAUUUUAUUUUAAACUAAGAGAUCUUAGAAAGAUCUGGCACAAAUGGGUAGGACUUGAGGCAACAAAACUGUUGAGAACAUUGUUUGUCAUUUGUGUCAUGUAAAACGUAUCUGGCACAGUUUAAUUACUAAACGACUGCUAUUGGGCUUUGCAUCAUGGGACCGUGCUUAUGACAGAUGACUGCUGUCUGCCCCCCCCACCCAGGCCUUAUAAAAUUCUACUCAUGCACUGUUCAGUGGAAUGGGAUUCCUUGCUGGGAAAAUUUCCACAUACAGCAUGGAGUUUAGAAAACCUGCUGACAGUAGCUAGUGACACGGAUGUGCUUAGCAGCAGCUGGGAAUGAAUUUACGGAAGAACUUCCUGAACUCCGUGUUGAAAACCGUGUAAAUGACGGGGUUGACGGCGCUGUUGACGUAGCCCAGCCAGGUGAC
Molecule: long non-coding RNA, 930 nt
Organism: Brienomyrus brachyistius
Lineage: Eukaryota; Metazoa; Chordata; Actinopteri; Osteoglossiformes; Mormyridae
Exons: 3
Source: RefSeq, a predicted model, not a curated record